GUAGCUGGUACUACAAGCCUACGCCACCAUGCUCAGGUAAAGAACCAAAUGAGAUAAGAUUCCAGAUGUAGGAAGAGCCAGACACCCCCAGGCUGAACACACUCAGGAGCUGGGUGCUUUUGGCAACAUCACAUUUCUCUGAUCCUAUUUUCUCAUUUGGAGAAGGGAGGCGAUAAGACCUUCCACACAAGGCUAUUGUGAAGAGGAAAUGCAGCAACAUAUGUGAGUUACGGAGCGCAGUGCUUCACACACAAUACGUGGUCGGUCAGCGGAAACUUUCAUCACGGCGGCUUUGCUGCAAAGCACCGUAUGUAAAUCUAAGGUACUCUUGCUAUUAAAGCCUUGUUUUCUGUUUUGUUCUGUUUUUCUUUUUUUUGUUU
Molecule: long non-coding RNA, 380 nt
Organism: Sapajus apella (tufted capuchin)
Lineage: Eukaryota; Metazoa; Chordata; Mammalia; Primates; Cebidae
Exons: 2
Source: RefSeq, a predicted model, not a curated record